AUUGAACACUGGCGGCAGGCUUAACACAUGCAAGUCGAGCGGGGGAAGGUAGCUUGCUACUGGACCUAGCGGCGAACGGGUGAGUAAUGCUUGGGAAUCUGCCUAUUAGUGGGGGACAACAUCUCGAAAGGGAUGCUAAUACCGCAUACGUCCUACGGGAGAAAGCAGGGGAUCUUCGGACCUUGCGCUAAUAGAUGAGCCUAAGUCGGAUUAGCUAGUUGGUGGGGUAAAGGCCUACCAAGGCGACGAUCUGUAGCGGGUCUGAGAGGAUGAUCCGCCACACUGGGACCGAGACACGGCCCAGACUCCUACGGGAGGCAGCAGUGGGGAAUAUUGGACAAUGGGGGGAACCCUGAUCCAGCCAUGCCGCGUGUGUGAAGAAGGCCUUAUGGUUGUAAAGCACUUUAAGCGAGGAGGAGGCUACUCUAGUUAAUACCUAGGGAUAGUGGACGUUACUCGCAGAAUAAGCACCGGCUAACUCUGUGCCAGCCGCCGCAGUAA
RNAcentral lists this ribosomal RNA (501 nucleotides) under uncultured bacterium. RNAcentral describes it as "partial 16S ribosomal RNA". It matches the Rfam family "Bacterial small subunit ribosomal RNA", at positions 30 to 523 of the family's 1533-position model. The record is from RNAcentral.